This is a non-coding RNA of Camelina sativa (false flax), 187 nucleotides long. The record is from RefSeq and is a predicted model, not a curated record. Lineage: Eukaryota; Viridiplantae; Streptophyta; Magnoliopsida; Brassicales; Brassicaceae.
GAGAGACCUGAAAACACAGGUUUGAAGAAAUCCUUAAAGGCACUAAAUCCCUCUCUAUUAAUCUGUUAGCGUGAGCAUAUAAACAUAUGAAUUCUUUUGUUAGGUUCUAGCAAAAGCGAAGGUUAAUGUUGAUGAGAUACAACCAGUGUCUUGGGCGGAUAUGAUCUCUGUCGCUGGAUCUGAAGCA